Oncorhynchus keta (chum salmon) is the source of this 2016-nucleotide long non-coding RNA. RefSeq lists it as uncharacterized. The record is from RefSeq and is a predicted model, not a curated record. The transcript has 2 exons. NCBI's taxonomy places the organism in Eukaryota, Metazoa, Chordata, Actinopteri, Salmoniformes, Salmonidae.
UUCCUUAAAGAGGUGGGGUUUCAGGUGUCUCCGGAAGGUGGUGAUUGACUCCGCUGUCCUGGCGUCGUGAGGGAGUUUGUUCCACCAUUGGGGGGCCAGAGCAGCGAACAGUUUUGCCUGGGCUGAGCGGGAACUGUACUUCCUCAGUGGUAGGGAGGCGAGCAGGCCAGAGGUGGAUGAACGCAGUGCCCUUGUUUGGGUGUAGGGCCUGAUCAGAGCCUGGAGGUACUGAGGUGCUGUUCCCCUCACAGCUCCGUAGGCAAGCACCAUGGUCUUGUAGCAGAUGCGAGCUUCAACUGGAAGCCAGUGGAGAGAGCGGAGGAGCGGGGUGACGUGAGAGAACUUGGGAAGGUUGAACACCAGACGGGCUGCGGCGUUCUGGAUGAGUUGUAGGGGUUUAAUGGCACAGGCAGGGAGCCCAGCCAACAGCGAGUUGCAGUAAUCCAGACGGGAGAUGACAAGUGCCUGGAUUAGGACCUGCGCCGCUUCCUGUGUGAGGCAGGGUCGUACUCUGCGGAUGUUGUAGAGCAGUGGUCACCAAACUACGGCCCGCGGGCCGGAUACGGCCCGUCAGCACAUUUGGCCCGGCCCUCUGAACAAUACCAGAGACGCUAUCAAAUUUUUUUCCUAUUUGGCCUCCAGAAAAAAAAUCCUAGGCCCGGCCCUGUCAAAGAGAGAACGGAAUAAUGGCGAAAAGGUUAGGUAAGAGAAAAAUUGAUUCAGAAUGCAGGGUAUUUAACCUGCAGUGGACAAACGAUUAUUUUUUUGUUCAAUGCAAAGAAAAGGCUGUUUAUAAUAUAUGCCAUUUAGCUGACGCUUUUAUCCAAAGCGACUUACAGUCAUGUGUGCAUACAUUCUACGUAUGGGUGGUCCCGGGAAUCGAACCCACUACCCUGGCGUUACAAGCGCCAUGCUCUACCAACUGAGCCACAGAAGGACCACAUUAUCUCAUCUGUCAAGAGACGGUGGCGGUAUUCAAAGAAUACAAUCUUCGCCGACACUAUGAAUCCCUUGUAACUUGCAGCUACAAGGCGAGGGGAAACUCAUUUGCGACAUGUAUUCACACAUAAAAGCAUUUGAGGUGAAAUUAGCGCUGCUUUUGGAACAAGUGAAAAAGCGCAACUUCGUCCAUCUUCCUGCUACCCAAAACCUGUCGACAGAGAACCCAGCGGUCCCGUUCCCAGCUGAAAAGUGCGUGGAAGCACUGGAAAUGCUGAAGGCAGAGUUCGGUGUGCGAUUCAGUGAACUACAUGUUCAUGCAAAAGAAAUCCGUCUUUUUCAGAACCCCUUUGUUGCCGACAUUGAUGAAGCCCAGCCUUCAUAUCAGUUUGAGUUGGCUGAGUUACAGAACUGUGAUGUUCUGAAAGACGCAUUCAAGCCCAACAGUCUCAUUGACUUCUAUGCCGCCCUCCCAAACGACACAUAUCCAAACAUCAAAACACGCAAUGAAAAUGUCCACAGUUUUUGGCAGCACGUAUAUCUGCGAGAAAACCUUUUCUCGCAUGAAACUGCUGAAAACCCCGAUGAGAUCAAGAUUGACAGAUGAACAUUUGCAUCAGUGCUUGAGACUGGCUGUAACUAGAAUGGAACCUGAUAUUCAACUUCUCACCAGCCAGAUGCAGGCCCACAGUUCACACUGAUGAACAUACAUAGGGAAGUUGAUGAGAGAGAGCUGCAAACAGCGGUGUCUACAAGCCUACUGGAACCUACAAAAGGAUUAUAAGGAAGGAACACAAGAACUUUAAGAGACUGCUCAUAUGUGUCAGAGAGAUUCUGCUCUGACAACUGAGCUGAACUUUUAUCUGUUAAGAUUGUGCAUGGCACGACAGAAAGUUAAUGUUCCAUGGCUUUUUUUUUUUUUCUAUGAAGAACCCAGAGAGGGUUAUUUAGUUAUUAUUUAUUUCAUUAAUAGUGUUAUUAUUUGUUUCCUGACUUUUUUUUCUGUAAAGAACCUGGAAAGGGUUAUUUGGUUAUGUGUGGCUUUCUGGAAAACAAUACAUUUUUUAAGCUCCCCUA